Canis lupus familiaris (dog) is the source of this 1079-nucleotide long non-coding RNA. RefSeq lists it as uncharacterized. NCBI's taxonomy places the organism in Eukaryota, Metazoa, Chordata, Mammalia, Carnivora, Canidae. The transcript has 3 exons. The record is from RefSeq and is a predicted model, not a curated record.
UCAGAUCCUCUUUGUUGUAUCCUCAGGUUAAUCUCUGUAGCAUAUAUCUUGAUCAGCCAUAAUCACUCUUUCUGCUUGAAUCCAAGUGAAAGACUUUAUUCUUUCCGUUGAAAUCAAGUCUUUCACUACUUGUGUCUGAGCCGAAUUUCUUUUCAUACAAAGCAAGUGCUUUAUAAUGGUUAAUAACUUUGCUUUUCAGAUCAAGUGUCUGAAUGUACCCACCUUUUCUAAAACUAUAUUUUUAGAAAAUCAGGCAAGUCCUCGAAUUGUUCCUUGUGAGAGCAGGUCCUUCAGUCAAGUCCUGAAGAAGACUUAGUUUUCCAGGAGAUAAAGCCUUCAUGAUUUGCAGCCCCCAUCAAGCCCUACAAGCCCUUAAUUUGAAGUGAAUUGCUUAUGAUCAAAUAAUAGACCAUCAUAUGAAAUUGGUAUUAGCUUCAUAUACCACAACUUGUGUAAGCAUUCUUCUUUCUCUUAGAGUCAGAAGAAAAUUAAUACUGAUGAAGGAAUCCUUGCACUGGGAUUACUCUGGAUGUGCUCAAUCAUCAUAACAUAAGCCUAAACUGAGUUCAGAACUGUAGUUCAAAGCUAAACAUCUGCAUGAUGUCACAUCUGUUGCACUUUUGGGGAAGAUUUGUAUGUAAAUGUACGGAAAUAAAAAGUGUUUCCCAAUUAACAAAUCUCCCCUGGAAUGUCUCCCUACCUCCAUUGAUGGUAUCCAGUGAAGGGCAUUUCACGACCUGUGACUUCAAGUAAUAAAGACUCUACCUGUGACCAAGGUAUGUCCCAGACCUAACUGUGAGGUAGACAUGUUUCCUUCCCUACCAUUUCCUUCUUCUCUCAUUUCUCCCAUUUCCGAAUAAGUUGACUCAUUCAGACUUUUGUGCGAUGUGACUCCAUGCCAGGUUCUGCUGCCAGGCUGUGACACAUGCUUCAAAAUCAGCCCUCUCUUCUUUUCCCCACUGAUGUCUCUUCAUUCCCAGGUCACAGUUGGCUUUCUGAGGAUAUUUAGCUGAUAAAUACCCUUAAUCAUAUGUUUGGAGCUAUGAUAAUUGAACGCAUUAAAGCAUUUCAAAUAAAUG